GCCCUCCUAUUCACAAAACGGCAGCGGCCGCGGCGGGGCCCCGCGCCGCCGCCCCCCCCCCCGGCGGAGCGCAGCGGAGCGGAGGGAAGGGGAGGGGAGGGCGGGCAGCGCCCCGCCGUCUCGGCGACGGGGCCGGGCGGCCCGGCAGCCGUGCGGGCAGGCCCCGAGCGGCGCCCCGCAGCCCCCCGCCCCUUCCGCCGCCGCCGCACGGCAGGCGCCGACGGGAAAAGCCGCCCCCGGGGCAGCGCUCCCGGGCCCGGUGCUCCCGGGGCGUUUUUAUGAAUGAAAAUGCGCUCCGGUGUAAUCGAGCAGUCCUGGGAAAAGAAGCCUCCGUCCUGCUGAAACACGUCGUCUCCCCUCUGGCUUCCGCGAGCUCCUCAGCCGCAGGAUCUCUGCCUCCCGUCGAAGCCAAGGCGCCGGGCCCGCGGCAGGGGGGUAUCCAGCCUCCGCGCGAGGAAGGCAGCUGCCAAUCCACCUUUCCAGUCUAGUCUGCUGGCCUUAGUUCUGAAGGGAUGUUCCGAUCUGUAGGGGUGGCCGGGAGGUCUGCGUGUUUCUGCUCUGUUGGGUUGCAGAUCCUAAAUGGUCUAAAUUCCCUUUUCAGAAUCAGAAGUGGAAACUUGGAAAAAACCUGUGGACUGCGACCAACUUGCUGGCGUCCAUCCGUGGAGGAAAAAGUCACUUCAAGGCUCUUUAUGAGUUGCUUACACCUAAGGGGAAGCGGAGCGUCCUUUGGAGACGGUAUCGGAAUCCACAGUUUUGGUCACAUUACAAUAUUAAAGUAAUGUAUUUUUACUUGCUAGA
Long non-coding RNA from Dromaius novaehollandiae (emu), 801 nucleotides. RefSeq lists it as uncharacterized. The transcript is spliced from 2 exons. The record is from RefSeq and is a predicted model, not a curated record. NCBI's taxonomy places the organism in Eukaryota, Metazoa, Chordata, Aves, Casuariiformes, Dromaiidae.